Molecule: ribosomal RNA, 500 nt
Filed under: uncultured bacterium
Lineage: Bacteria
Description: partial 16S ribosomal RNA
Rfam family: Bacterial small subunit ribosomal RNA
Source: RNAcentral
AUUGAACGCUGGCGGAAUGCUUUACACAUGCAAGUCGAACGGCAGCACGGACUUCGGUCUGGUGGCGAGUGGCGAACGGGUGAGUAAUGUAUCGGAACAUGCCCAGUCGUGGGGGAUAACGUAGUGAAAAUUACGCUAAUACCGCAUACGAUCUACGGAUGAAAGCGGGGGAUCGCAAGACCUCGCGCGAUUGGAGCGGCCGAUAUCAGAUUAGGUAGUUGGUGGGGUAAAGGCUCACCAAGCCGACGAUCUGUAGCUGGUCUGAGAGGACGUCCAGCCAAACUGGGACUGAGACACGGUACAGACUCCUACGGGAGGCAGCAGUGGGGAAUUUUGGACAAUGGACGCAAGUCUGAUCCAGCCAUUCCGCGUGCAGGAUGAAGGCCCUCGGGUUGUAAACUGCUUUUGUACGGAACGAAAAGGUCUCUCUUAAUACGGGGGGCUCAUGACGGUACCGUAAGAAUAAGCACCGGCUAACUACGUGCCAGCCGCCGCAGUAA